AGCCUCUACAAGCAUAUGCAAAAGUUGCUGCGUUUGAAAAGCUCAUAGUUGGGUCUGUUCUAAGGACAGCUUCUUUAGCCGGGCUUACCCAUAGUCGACGGGCUAUCGUUGUCGCUUAGCGUCUUUCUGUUGAGGGUGUUUGCACUUCAUUGUGUCGAAUACUCGAGACAGGAAAUUUACCUUGAGUAAAUUGGAGUGUUCAAAGCAAUCAUGAGUUUGAACAAUAAAGCAUGGAAUAGUGGAGGACGACCCGCAAAACCAUUUGCUGGGUUAGCGGUUGAUGCGGUAAUGAUUGAAAGGAACAGUCGGGGGCAUUCGUAUUGCUACGUUAGAGGUGAAAUUCUUGGAUCGUGGCAAGACGAACUACUGCGAAAGCAUUUGCCAAGAAUGUUUUCAUUAA
This 400-nucleotide ribosomal RNA is filed under the name phytoplankton environmental sample. RNAcentral describes it as "partial small subunit ribosomal RNA". It matches the Rfam family "Eukaryotic small subunit ribosomal RNA", at positions 586 to 976 of the family's 1831-position model. The record is from RNAcentral.